CCCCUAGAUGUUCUGGGCCGCACGCGCGCUACACUGAACAGUUCAACAAGUCUUAACCUUGGCCGAUAGGUCUGGGUAAUCUUUGAACGCUGUUCGUGAUUGGGAUAGACCUUUGCAAUUAUGGGUCUUCAACGAGGAAUUCCUAGUAAACGCAAGUCAUCAGCUUGCAUUGAUUACGUCCCUGCCCUUUGUACACACCGCCCGUCGCAUCUACCGAUUGAAUGGUCCGGUGAAAUCUCGGGACGGCGGCUCGGUCGCUUGCGUCCGACUGCUGAAACUUGAUUAAACCAUAUCAUUUAGAGGAAGGUGAAGUCGUAACA
Molecule: ribosomal RNA, 320 nt
Filed under: uncultured eukaryote
Lineage: Eukaryota
Description: partial 18S ribosomal RNA
Rfam family: Eukaryotic small subunit ribosomal RNA
Source: RNAcentral